GGAGGUCACUGCUAUUGGGAUUCGACUAAGCCAUGCGAGUCGAGAGGGUUCGGCCCUCGGCUGACUGCUCAGUAACACGUGGAUAAUCUGCCCUAUGGUGGAGGAUAACCUCGGGAAACUGAGAAUAAUACUCCAUAGGUCUAGGAUACUGGAAUGCACCUAGACUCAAAACUCCGGUGCCAUAGGAUGAGUCUGCGGACUAUCAGGUUGUAGUCAGGGUAAAGACCUGACUAGCCUACGACGGAUAUGGGUUGUGAGAGCAAUAACCCAGAGAUGAUAUCUGAGACACGAUAUCAGGCCCUACGGGGCGCAGCAGGCGCGAAAACUUCACAAUGUGCGAAAGCGCGAUGAGGGAAUCCCAAGUGCUUGCACGUAAGUGUAAGCUGUUUUUAUGUUUAAAACGCAUGGAGAGUAAGAGCUGGGUAAGACGGGUGCCAGCCGCCGCGGUAAUACCUGCAGCUCAAGUGGUGGCCGCUAUUAUUGGGCCUAAAACGUCCGUAGCCUGUUUAAUAAAUGCCUGGGUAAAUCGUGUAGCUUAACCAUACGAAUUCCGGGUAGACUGUUAAACUUGAGACCGGGAGAAGUUAGAGGUACUCCUGGGGUAGAGGUGAAAUUCUGUAAUCCUAGGGGGACCACCAGUGGCGAAGGCGUCUG
This 654-nucleotide ribosomal RNA is filed under the name uncultured archaeon. Its description in RNAcentral is "bacterial SSU rRNA". It matches the Rfam family "Archaeal small subunit ribosomal RNA", at positions 19 to 678 of the family's 1478-position model. The record is from RNAcentral.